GCUGCCUUAGCUCAAUUUGGCAGAGCACUCGACUUGUAAUCGAGCGGUUGAGGGUUCAAGUCCCUCAGGCAGCA
Molecule: transfer RNA, 74 nt
Filed under: Candidatus Similichlamydia laticola
Lineage: Bacteria; Pseudomonadati; Chlamydiota; Chlamydiia; Parachlamydiales; Candidatus Parilichlamydiaceae
Rfam family: tRNA
About the family: Transfer RNA (tRNA) molecules are approximately 80 nucleotides in length. Their secondary structure includes four short double-helical elements and three loops (D, anti-codon, and T loops). Further hydrogen bonds mediate the characteristic L-shaped molecular structure. tRNAs have two regions of fundamental functional importance: the anti-codon, which is responsible for specific mRNA codon recognition, and the 3' end, to which the tRNAs corresponding amino acid is attached (by aminoacyl-tRNA synthetases). tRNAs cope with the degeneracy of the genetic code in two manners: having more than one tRNA (with a specific anti-codon) for a particular amino acid; and 'wobble' base-pairing, i.e. permitting non-standard base-pairing at the 3rd anti-codon position.
Source: Rfam by way of RNAcentral